Non-coding RNA from Pongo abelii (Sumatran orangutan), 109 nucleotides. The record is from Rfam. Lineage: Eukaryota; Metazoa; Chordata; Mammalia; Primates; Hominidae.
GUCUACGGCCACACCACCCUGAAUGCUCCCGAUAUCUUCUGAUCUCAGAAGCUAAGCAGGGUAGGGCCUGGUUAGUACUUGGAUGGGAGAAAUGUGGCUACUACAUAAU